This 513-nucleotide ribosomal RNA is filed under the name uncultured Glomus. Its description in RNAcentral is "SSU rRNA". It matches the Rfam family "Eukaryotic small subunit ribosomal RNA", at positions 569 to 1080 of the family's 1831-position model. The record is from RNAcentral. Lineage: Eukaryota; Fungi; Glomeromycota; Glomeromycetes; Glomerales; Glomeraceae.
CGCAGCCGCGGUAAUUCCAGCUCCAAUAGCGUAUAUUAAAGUUGUUGCAGUUAAAAAGCUCGUAGUUGAAUUUCGGGAUCAAAUUGUCGGUCGUGCCUCGGUACGCACUGGUAUUAUUGGUUCCUACCUUCUGAAGAACCGCGAUGUCAUUAAUUUGGUGUCGUGGGGAAUCAGGACUGUUACUUUGAAAAAAUUAGAGUGUUUAAAGCAGGCUUACGCUUGAAUACAUUAGCAUGGAAUAAUGAAAUAGGACGUUUGAUUCUAUUUUGUUGGUUUCUAGGAUUGACGUAAUGAUUAAUAGGGAUAGUUGGGGGCAUUAGUAUUCAAUUGUCAGAGGUGAAAUUCUUGGAUUUAUUGAAGACUAACUACUGCGAAAGCAUUUGCCAAGGAUGUUUUCAUUAAUCAAGAACGAAAGUUAGGGGAUCGAAGACGAUCAGAUACCGUCGUAGUCUUAACCAUAAACUAUGCCGACUAGGGAUCGGAUGAUGUUAAUUUUUUAAAUUUAGACUCAUU